Molecule: ribosomal RNA, 527 nt
Filed under: uncultured eukaryote
Lineage: Eukaryota
Description: SSU rRNA
Rfam family: Eukaryotic small subunit ribosomal RNA
Source: RNAcentral
GGAUAAUUUACAACCCUUACCGAAAGCAAUUGGAGGGCAAGUCUGGUGCCAGCAGCCGCGGUAAUUCCAGCUCCAAUAGCGUAUAUUAAAGUUGUUGCAGUUAAAAAAGCUCGUAGUUGAAGUUCUGAUUGUUCGGGCCUCGCGCUUUAUAGCCGAGGAACCGACAGUCAUCCGCUUGCAAAUAUAUGUUCGCCUUUAACCGGGUGGCUAUAUGAGUAAGCAAUUUACCUUGAGAAAAACAGAGUGUUCCAGGCAGGUUUUGUCCGGAAUGCAUUAGCAUGGAAUAAUAGAAUAUGACUGAAGUCGAUUUAUUGGUUUAAGGCUUUAGUAAUGAUUAAUAGGAACAGUCGGGGGCAUUGGUACUUGACAGUCAGAGGUGAAAUUCUAGGAUUUGUCAAAGACUAACAAAUGCGAAAGCAUUUGCCAAGGAUGUUUUCAUUAAUCAAGAACGAAAGUUAGGGGAUCAAAGACGAUCAGAUACCGUCCUAGUCUUAACUAUAAACUAUACCGACUCGGAUUCAGAUGAA